RNAcentral lists this ribosomal RNA (1046 nucleotides) under Saccharomyces cerevisiae (brewer's yeast). Its description in RNAcentral is "SSU rRNA". It matches the Rfam family "Eukaryotic small subunit ribosomal RNA", at positions 62 to 1116 of the family's 1831-position model. The record is from RNAcentral. Lineage: Eukaryota; Fungi; Ascomycota; Saccharomycetes; Saccharomycetales; Saccharomycetaceae.
AGCUAUAAGCAUUUAUACAGUGAAACUGCGAAUGGCGUCAUUAAAUCAGUUAUCGUUACUUAUAUAGGUCCUUUACUACAUGGUAUAACUGUGGUAAUUCUAGAGCUAAUACAUGCUUAAAAUCUCGACCCUUUGGAAGAGAUGUAUUUAUUAGAUAAAAAAUCAAUGUCUUCGGACUCUUUGAUGAUUCAUAAUAACUUUUCGAAUCGCAUGGCCUUGUGCUGGCGAUGGUUCAUUCAAAUUUCUGCCCUAUCAACUUUCGAUGGUAGGAUAGUGGCCUACCAUGGUUUCAACGGGUAACGGGGAAUAAGGGUUCGAUUCCGGAGAGGGAGCCUGAGAAACGGCUACCACAUCCAAGGAAGGCAGCAGGCGCGCAAAUUACCCAAUCCUAAUUCAGGGAGGUAGUGACAAUAAAUAACGAUACAGGGCCCAUUCGGGUCUUGUAAUUGGAAUGAGUACAAUGUAAAUACCUUAACGAGGAACAAUUGGAGGGCAAGUCUGGUGCCAGCAGCCGCGGUAAUUCCAGCUCCAAUAGCGUAUAUUAAAGUUGUUGCAGUUAAAAAGCUCGUAGUUGAACUUUGGGCCCGGUUGGCCGGUCCGAUUUUUUCGUGUACUGGAUUUCCAACGGGGCCUUUCCUUCUGGCUAACCUUGAGUCCUUGUGGCUCUUGGCGAACCAGGACUUUUACUUUGAAAAAAUUAGAGUGUUCAAAGCAGGCGUAUUGCUCGAAUAUAUUAGCAUGGAAUAAUAGAAUAGGACGUUUGGUUCUAUUUUGUUGGUUUCUAGGACCAUCGUAAUGAUUAAUAGGGACGGUCGGGGGCAUCAGUAUUCAAUUGUCAGAGGUGAAAUUCUUGGAUUUAUUGAAGACUAACUACUGCGAAAGCAUUUGCCAAGGACGUUUUCAUUAAUCAAGAACGAAAGUUAGGGGAUCGAAGAUGAUCAGAUACCGUCGUAGUCUUAACCAUAAACUAUGCCGACUAGGGAUCGGGAUGUUUUUUUUAAUGACCCACUCGGCACCUUACGAGAAAUCAAAGUCUUUGGGUCCUG